RNAcentral lists this ribosomal RNA (254 nucleotides) under uncultured bacterium. Its description in RNAcentral is "partial 16S ribosomal RNA". It matches the Rfam family "Bacterial small subunit ribosomal RNA", at positions 524 to 776 of the family's 1533-position model. The record is from RNAcentral.
UACGGGGGGAGCAAGCGUUGUUCGGAUUUACUGGGCGUAAAGGGCGCGUAGGCGGCCUCUGCAAGUCGACUGUGAAAUCUCCGGGCUUAACCCGGAACGGUCAGCCGAUACUGCAGGGCUAGAGUGCAGAAGGGGCAACCGGAAUUCUCGGUGUAGCGGUGAAAUGCGUAGAUAUCGAGAGGAACACCUGCGGCGAAGGCGGGUUGCUGGGCUGACACUGACGCUGAGGCGCGAAAGCUAGGGGAGCGAACGGG